AGAUGACCUCUUGAGAGGCUAGAUGGCAUGGAGUAUUUGUUUCUGGUGGAGUCUCGUUUAGCUAGAAUCAAGGUUAGUUUAAAGGAUCAGAUAGGUGUGUGAUGAAUGAACGGAAAACAAGCACUGGGAUUGCGUGAACAAUAUUUCACUUAGUUUUCCAAAUGGAGAUGGGGACUUGAGGGAGGGCAUGUGUUUGAGGUGGAGGGUUCUUUGCUUUGAAGGAAUCUUGCUGACAGAAUCCAUGAGAGUCUCAAGCCAAUGGAAUAAUCAUAACUACCAAUUGACCAUGGACUGUUUCCUGGGUGUUGUUGGGGAAUGAAGACUAGACUCAAAGCCCCGUUGUAUUUAAAGAAUGGUCUCUUCCCUUCAGUUAAAUAAUGAAGUAAUGACUAUGAAUGGAAUCAGGAGAAGGUUGUAGAAGUGUUCAGUAAGCAUCUGCUCUGACAGGCUGAUCUUAGUUUGCCCUCACGCCCUCCUGGACUCAUAUUUGCCAGGCCUGGCACUUCUUCCCUAAUUAUUGCAUCUGAUGGACACAGGUUGCCGUCUGUCUGUGAAGAAAUGGGCUCUCAACUGGGGACAGGGGCCCUCUGGACAUCGGGGCGACAAUGCCCUGUGUUGGUCUCCUGGGCACAGGGCAGGGCCUACCUAGCUCCUUGCAGCCUCCCUAGGGCUUUACCUAAGUAACACUCACAGGGUGUAAGUGGACUUAGCCACCUGGUGAUUCUGUCCCAAGUGAAAUUGUGUCUCUGAUACUGUUUUUGUCCUUGGCUCCCGGAACACAUCUGCUUCUCCCCUUCAUUCAGUUUAUGGACUGGGCUUGCUGCCUUUGUGCCUAGAAAUGCCAGAAUAGGAAGGGAAUUCUAGUUGGCAGAAUGAAUAUCCAUAUUCUUCUAAGAAUGUCCUUCAUGUGCUGCUUUGUUUUCAUUCACAGAGUGUCGUGUCACUCCUUAGGUCAUCCUGGCUGGGUAUCUGGGGAACUGGUUAGAAAGGGGAAGAGAUGAGUGGACAUCAUGGCCAAUAAAAGCAAAGGACUUGGAGCUGCAAGAACAAGUCAGGACAGAAUGCAGAGAUUUGUUGCCCUCCACCCAGAAGACGGGUGAGAAGCCACAGGAGGCAAAGGAGAGGCCAGGCAGGAGUCCUGUGGCUGAGGGCAGACUAACGGGGGGCCAGCCCUGUGUUUUGUGGGUGCAGGGACCAGAAACAGAGCUCAGAAGCCUAUCCAGGAAGAUUCAAAGCUCACGGAAUAUGGACUAUCCUCUGGAGCUGAUGCUGAUAGCAAAUUUUUAUUGAUGCUUCAUACUUUCCUAAAGGGAAGGGGAAAACCAAAGUGGGUGAGGUAGGGGGCCCCUCUGUGGAAGCCCCAGGAGCUCUGGGGUGUUGGGGGAGCUGGGCACAGCUGUGGAGCUGCUCCUCAAUUCUGUCUUGCUCUGAGGAUCGAUUUAACCCGAAAGCUCCCCCAGACAGAAACGCCUCCCUGCCCCAUUGGGGAGUGCCAGGCAGUCACCUGUGGCCCAUCCCAGCUGUGUCUGUGCCACCCAGAGGUUAGCCUGUGUGUACCCUGCCUCCUCAAGGUCAGUGUCUCUGCUCCUCCCCUCGUGCGGUGUGAUUCAGUCACGUCAGACGGGUAAACUGGUACUAACACUUGCUUUUCCUGCGCUCACACACUGGUAGCCUUGGAGCAGCUCUUGGGGGUGUAUGGAGCCCACCUGACAGUCCUUAGGGCCUCCCCAGAUAGGUGUGCUGCGGCUGUGCCCUUUACCUGACCUGGGGGUUUGCGGAAUCCAUGUGUAUUAGCCACAGCUGACCUUUCUCUGUGUUCUGAUCUGUGUUGGAACAGUACAUGUAGAUUCUUUUUCAGUGCAGUUCCAGAACAUCAUGUAUUGUACAUUGGGAAAUAUUUACCUUAUUUAUAUACCUGAAUGUUCCUGUUACACAAAUAAACAUCUAUUAAGU
RNAcentral lists this long non-coding RNA (1953 nucleotides) under Canis lupus familiaris (dog). RNAcentral describes it as "lncRNA (ENSCAFG00000058565.1)". Lineage: Eukaryota; Metazoa; Chordata; Mammalia; Carnivora; Canidae. The record is from RNAcentral.